This 253-nucleotide ribosomal RNA is filed under the name uncultured prokaryote. RNAcentral describes it as "partial 16S ribosomal RNA". It matches the Rfam family "Bacterial small subunit ribosomal RNA", at positions 525 to 777 of the family's 1533-position model. The record is from RNAcentral.
ACGGAGGGUGCAAACGUUGUUCGGAAUCACUGGGCGUAAAGGGCGCGUAGGCGGACUUGUAAGUCGGGAGUGAAAACUCGGGGCUCAACCCCGAGCCUGCUUCCGAAACUGCGAGUCUUGAGGACCGGAGAGGAAAGUGGAAUUCCUAGUGUAGCGGUGGAAUGCGUAGAUAUUAGGAAGAACACCAGUGGCGAAGGCGACUUUCUGGACGGUUCCUGACGCUGAGGCGCGAAAGCUAGGGGAGCAAACAGGA